This 74-nucleotide transfer RNA is filed under the name Amorphoscelis hainana. Its description in RNAcentral is "tRNA-Lys". Lineage: Eukaryota; Metazoa; Arthropoda; Insecta; Mantodea; Hymenopodidae. The record is from RNAcentral.
CAUUAGAUGACUGAAAUUCGCAAGUAAUGGUCUCUUAAACCAGUUUAUAGUAACUUAGCACUUACUUCUAAUGA